GUGACUCGAAGAAGCCUUCCAAAAAAGCAUGUGAAAAGGGAGCCCUCCUCUACUACCAAGGCUGACUUCAGGAGCACAUUCAAUGAGAAUACAAGAAGAUAUGCUGUGCACACCAACCAGUGUCGGAGACCUCAUGGCUCCCGGGUAAAGAAGAAGAGGUACCCACAAGAAGAUGACUUCCAUCAUACAGUCUUCAGCAACCUUGAAAGAUUGGACAAGCUUCAGCCCACUCUUGAAGCCUCUGAGGAGUCUCUAGUUCACAAGGACAGAGGAGAUGGAGAGAGGCCAGUCAACGCGAGGGUGGUGCAGGUGGCCCCUCUGAGGUGUGAAUCUA
RNAcentral lists this non-coding RNA (334 nucleotides) under Pan troglodytes (chimpanzee). Lineage: Eukaryota; Metazoa; Chordata; Mammalia; Primates; Hominidae. The record is from RNAcentral.